This 29-nucleotide non-coding RNA is filed under the name Rattus norvegicus (Norway rat). The record is from RNAcentral. Lineage: Eukaryota; Metazoa; Chordata; Mammalia; Rodentia; Muridae.
UCAUUGAUGCUUCUGUUCGGCCUAAGGCU